AUGGAGAUGUGGGGCUGUAGGAGGGAGAAGUUGGGCUGUAGGAGGGCGAAGUUGGGCUGUAGGAGGGCGAAGUUGGGCUGUAUGAAGGAGACGUGGGACUGUAAGAUGGGGAAGUGGGGCUAUAUGCAGGGGAAGUGGGGCUGUAAGCGGGGGAAGUGGGGCUGUAAGCAGGGGAAGUGGGGCUGUAGCUUGGUGAGGUGGGACUGUAGCUUGGUGAGGUGGGGCUGUAGCUGGGAGAGGUUGGUGAGUAUGAUGGACUCGUAGGAGAGUAAGCUGGACUGGUGGGACUAUAGCCAGGAGAACUAGGACUAUAUGUCGGAGAGGUGGGACUGUACCCAGGAGAAGUGGGGCUAUACCCUGGUGAGGUGGGACUGUACCCAGGAGAAGUGGGGCUGUAUCCAGGCGAGGAAGGGCUGUAUCCAGGGGAUGAUGGGCUGUAGCCUGGAGAGGAAGUAGGAGAGAAUGCCAUUCCUCCAACAUAUGGAGAAAACUGAGCAUCUGAAAUUGGCGACAACCGAAGAUUUGGGCUCAACAAAUAAUUAGGGGACAUCAUG
Molecule: long non-coding RNA, 554 nt
Filed under: Malus domestica (apple)
Lineage: Eukaryota; Viridiplantae; Streptophyta; Magnoliopsida; Rosales; Rosaceae
Description: long non-coding RNA (MDOM_LNC001508)
Source: RNAcentral